UCAGAGGCAGAACCAAGUGUAGUGUGUUUUGUUUUUGUGGUUUUAAACAUAUACCUGCAUUGUUAAGGGUUGUUUUCAUAUUUUUUUUGUUGCUUUUAUGCAGGAGAACAAGAGACCAGAAUGCUACCUUUGGAGAAAUCUCAUUGGUAUGUUAAGCUUUAAUUCUGCUCUUAUGUGAUGAAAUUCUGUAUUGAGUAAAAUAUUUUAUAUGGACUGGCUGUUUAUAGGAAAUGUUCGGUGAUUGGCUUAUGCAAUUAAAGGACUCAAAAGUUAAAUAUUUGUACAAUUUUGUUCAUAGCAUAAUUGUGUAAUGGGUAUUUUUUGGUCAUUAUGGUUCCUUACAUGCAGAUAUUUUUAAAAGAAUGCAUACAUGAUUUAUUGAGUUUCCAUGGAACCUCCUAUUUGUAUAUACGAUAAACUAUUCAAUUAAUUUUUACUUUCUCAAUUUUUUUAGUUGGUUUCUUUAUGAUUUGCGUCUCCUCCAGCUCAUUCGCAUUUGACUACGAUUAACCAGUACCA
This 519-nucleotide long non-coding RNA is filed under the name Actinidia chinensis (golden kiwifruit). RNAcentral's name for it is "long non-coding RNA (ACHI_LNC007292)". The record is from RNAcentral. Lineage: Eukaryota; Viridiplantae; Streptophyta; Magnoliopsida; Ericales; Actinidiaceae.